GAAAUGCGAUAAGUAGUGUGAAUUGCAGAAUUCAGUGAAUCAUCGAAUCUUUGAACGCACAUUGCGCCCUAUGGUAUUCCGUAGGGCAUGCCUGUUCGAGCGUCAUUCAAACCUUCAAGCUCUGCUUGGUGUUGGGCGUCUGUCCUGCCUCACGGCGUGGACUCGCCUCAAAUGUAUUGGCGGCCGGCACGUUGGCUUCGAGUGCAGCAGAAACGCGAACUCGGUGCCCGACGGGUCAGCUCCCAGAAGCUAAACCCCAUGAAUUUGACCUCGGAUCAGGUAGGGAUACCCGCUGAACUUAAGC
RNAcentral lists this unclassified non-coding RNA (304 nucleotides) under plant metagenome. RNAcentral's name for it is "partial contains 5.8S ribosomal RNA, internal transcribed spacer 2, and large subunit ribosomal RNA". The stretch from base 1 to 105 matches the Rfam family "5.8S ribosomal RNA", at positions 50 to 154 of the family's 154-position model. The record is from RNAcentral.